CCUCGUUCUCCGCUUGUUUAUGGCUGACGCUAUCUCGCCUGCACCGCUCCCUCGGUUUCAUUAUCUCUUGUCGCAGAUGGACCGUGGCUUUCCUUCUUCACAGGGCUUCUCUCUGCUGGUGCUACAGCUCCCUCUCCUCUUCCCAGCUCUGCAUCCUUCACCCUUGCUCACAGGUGAGCCUUUUCCAGCGAAGCACUUCACUCCAGCUGUCCUUCCUCCUGCAGUCUCUUCUCCUCUAAAGACCUCACCAUCCCGUAAAAUAAAGCCAAUGGCGCUAAUGUAAUAAUGCUGAUAUUGUGGCCAGCGGGACCAGGGCAGUGACCAUCCCCUGUGCUGGGGCACCUCCAAUCCCAGGGAUUAAAGAAGUGCAACAGCUUCCAGGGAUUUAAAUGCAUGGUGAGAAAAGGAGAAAAGUUUUUUACCUCAUUGGCAGAGAAUUUAAGGAUGGGUGUAACAGCCAGCGUGUCCCUCUAAGGCAGCACCUGAGAGGGUCAUGUGUGUGACAUCCUUUAAGGAAGAUGCUUCCUCUGGAUCACUUUCUUAGCAACCACAAUGAGCCAUCCUGGUAGAGAUGGGAGCCUCCAUGCAGUCUGGAUCUUGAGUCCUGUGUUCAUUCUGGGCUUGGUUGUGCUGGUUCCCUGCGGAGAACUCUGACCACCCUUCCAAAAUACUCCGUGACUGGUUUCCUUUCUCAGAGACUGAGUUUGAGGAUAUAUUUCACAGAGCAAUAGCUAUGCAAAUGCAAAUCCUCCUUGUAGAGUUCUUUUAACUUCAAGCCACUAAAUAUACACAUUUGGUCUGUGGAACUGAAUUUACUUCCCCUCUCAGAGGAACAAGCUUUGUCAGCUGUAAUGAUGAGCUGUUGUUUGACAUUCAUAAUAUUGUACUUCACUGCUUAUCUGAUGGAGCCAUGCAAAGCUAUUUGGGGGGUUCUGAAAUGUGACAGCCCACAUGAUGCUUUUUUAGACUUCACAAACCGCCUUCACGAGGCAGGAGAAUGUGACAUGGGAACGGCUGGCUGGAACAACGGCGUGCCUUAAUGCCAGCGGGCUUGCUGUAGCUGGGGAGGAGGAAUGCUCUUUGGAAGUUUGCAGCUUUUGUUGUGUGCUGUCAAAGGAAGAACUUAGAGCCUGAAAGAACAUCUUGGAUGCCAUAGGUGGGGACUGUGGGGAUUAUUGAUCCUGUCUGGAAACAGCAUAAAGAUGGAGGCAAAUAUGUUAAACCUGUUUGGAUCAUCCACAGACAGAAGGGGACUCAAGGGAGACAGCUCAGAUACCCCAUUUCAUGCUGUCUUGCCAUAAUGAACAAAAAUAUCUCCAUUUCUGACAAACUUCUGUAUCUUCAUCCUUGCUGACAUGCGGAGUAUUCAUUGCACGCUUAGUUUUGAAUCCUGGAAGCCUCCAGGUGAAAGAACUCAUCUAGGAAAACCAAAACUCAACAAAUCUUCUGGCUUCUCUUCACAGACUAACAGCAGAAGAGCACAAGGGUUACCUGUGACAUCUGUUCCAUAUGAACCCUUGGAGGCUGACUAAAUGGGUGGUGCAUUCUCACUUCCCUGCAGUGGCCAGGCUUUAAAGACCUGAUGGGGACUCUGGCCACACAAUGACCUGGCAGUCCUGCCUGUCACUCCCACCUGCCUCUGCUGGCAUUCCCUGAACUUUAACCACAACUUCUGGCUGCAUCACAGUCCUGUUGGUCACUGGGGAAAGGCAGAAGAGGGUGUCCCUUCAAGCCCUGCCACCACGGUUCCUCUCAGUGUCCUCUGGCUCACGCUGACCCAUCACCAUCUGCCCCGUCCCGCCUCUGACAUCCUGCCUCAUCCUUUUCCAGGUGAAGAACCACAG
Pseudopodoces humilis (Tibetan ground-tit) is the source of this 1844-nucleotide long non-coding RNA. RefSeq lists it as uncharacterized. The record is from RefSeq and is a predicted model, not a curated record. Lineage: Eukaryota; Metazoa; Chordata; Aves; Passeriformes; Paridae.